CCAAAGCACCUUUUUGCGGUGGACAUGUUUACCUAACACGUUUCUGUCUGCUGCGCCUGCCCCUUUUUCAAACAAAGAAGUGUGGUUAGGCUUUCAACACAUCGCAACCUGUCAUAGUAUGAUUUUGAAUCUGAAUAUCAAUA
RNAcentral lists this unclassified non-coding RNA (143 nucleotides) under uncultured fungus. RNAcentral's name for it is "sequence contains ITS1". Lineage: Eukaryota; Fungi. The record is from RNAcentral.